CCUCAUUUGGUUAAACCACACAAGCUCCGUGCUUGGAACUUCCGUUUUCUUAUCUUGAACAUCAUGUACUGUUCCAGCUCAUAGGCAGCCACCCAGGAAGGAAGCAUUUCAUUCCUUUCAGACAGAGGGCCUGACUAGCCAAUGGCCACGCUGUUGAAAGCUCUCUUUUCAGAUGUCACAGCCAGAUGAAGGAUAAUUUAAGAAGCACGGAGCUGGGUGAUGGGUCUUACAGAGCUGCCUGUCUGCUGGACCUGGAGGAAAGCUUACCCCAGCAAGAUGGAAGCGGAUAAGCAAAGAGUUGUUGUCAGACAUCUACAGCAAAGAGAGGGAUCUGUGAUGAUCUUCCCAUGGUGCUGUGCCCUUGCUUCUGAUGGCUUUGCAAGAGUACUUCAGAGCUAAACUCAAAGAUGAACAUCAGAAAGAGGAACCUUAAAAA
Cervus elaphus (red deer) is the source of this 436-nucleotide long non-coding RNA. RefSeq lists it as uncharacterized. Lineage: Eukaryota; Metazoa; Chordata; Mammalia; Artiodactyla; Cervidae. The transcript has 3 exons. The record is from RefSeq and is a predicted model, not a curated record.